UGGGGAAUAUUGGACAAUGGGCGCAAGCCUGAUCCAGCCAUGCCGCGUGAGUGAUGAAGGCCCUAGGGUUGUAAAGCUCUUUCACCGGUGAAGAUAAUGACGGUAACCGGAGAAGAAGCCCCGGCUAACUUCGUGCCAGCAGCCGCGGUAAUACGAAGGGGGCUAGCGUUGUUCGGAUUUACUGGGCGUAAAGCGCACGUAGGCGGACUUUUAAGUCAGGGGUGAAAUCCCGGGGCUCAACCCCGGAACUGCCUUUGAUACUGGAAGUCUUGAGUAUGGUAGAGGUGAGUGAAAUUCCGGGGGUAGAGGUGAAAUUCGUAGAUAUUCGGAGAAAAACCAGUGGCGAAGGCGGCUCACUGGACCAUUACUGACGCUGAGGUGCGAAAGCGUGGGGAGCAAACAGG
RNAcentral lists this ribosomal RNA (404 nucleotides) under Actinomycetes bacterium. RNAcentral describes it as "Actinobacteria bacterium partial 16S ribosomal RNA". It matches the Rfam family "Bacterial small subunit ribosomal RNA", at positions 355 to 776 of the family's 1533-position model. The record is from RNAcentral. Lineage: Bacteria; Bacillati; Actinomycetota; Actinomycetes.